GACGUAGGGCGCGAGCGUUGUCCGGAUUUAUUGGGCGUAAAGAGCUCGUAGGCGGCUUGUCGCGUCGACUGUGAAAACCCGCGGCUCAACUGCGGGCCUGCAGCCGAUACGGGCAGGCUAGAGUUCGGUAGGGGAGACUGGAAUUCCUGGUGUAGCGGUGAAAUGCGCAGAUAUCAGGAGGAACACCGGUGGCGAAGGCGGCUUUCUGGUCUGAUUCUGACGCUGAGGAGCGAAAGCCAGGGGAGCGAACGGG
This 253-nucleotide ribosomal RNA is filed under the name uncultured bacterium. Its description in RNAcentral is "partial 16S ribosomal RNA". It matches the Rfam family "Bacterial small subunit ribosomal RNA", at positions 524 to 776 of the family's 1533-position model. The record is from RNAcentral.